RNAcentral lists this ribosomal RNA (71 nucleotides) under Diplostomum sp. PR-2010. RNAcentral's name for it is "partial 5.8S ribosomal RNA". It matches the Rfam family "5.8S ribosomal RNA", at positions 1 to 68 of the family's 154-position model. Rfam says of the family: 5.8S ribosomal RNA (5.8S rRNA) is a component of the large subunit of the eukaryotic ribosome. It is transcribed by RNA polymerase I as part of the 45S precursor that also contains 18S and 28S rRNA. Lineage: Eukaryota; Metazoa; Platyhelminthes; Trematoda; Diplostomida; Diplostomidae. The record is from RNAcentral.
UACAACUCUGAGCGGUGGAUCACUCGGCUCGUGUGUCGAUGAAGAGUGCAGCCAACUGUGUGAAUUAAUGU